CAUUUAAGAUACUCUAGUCAAAAAGAUAAAAGUUUAUAAUAUAAAAACAUAGUAUAUGCUAUUUCAGUACAAGGUUCAAUAAUCAUUUAAUUUAGAAAAAGAAAUAGAGAAUGGCCCUUAAAUUAAAUUUUUUUAAAUUAAAAUUAGGAUUGCCUAAACUCUAGGUCUAACACAACACAUUUAUAUAUGUAAAUAACAAUUACACUGAAAUAAAUUGUGUAGGACAUAAUAUUAUAAGGAUUUGAAUAUUUAAUUUUAAUAUACAGUUU
Cinara cedri is the source of this 269-nucleotide non-coding RNA. The record is from the annotation of a GenBank genome assembly. NCBI's taxonomy places the organism in Eukaryota, Metazoa, Arthropoda, Insecta, Hemiptera, Aphididae.